This 472-nucleotide ribosomal RNA is filed under the name uncultured bacterium. Its description in RNAcentral is "bacterial SSU rRNA". It matches the Rfam family "Bacterial small subunit ribosomal RNA", at positions 28 to 511 of the family's 1533-position model. The record is from RNAcentral.
GACGAACGCUGGCGGCGUGCUUAACACAUGCAAGUCGAACGGUGACCCAGGGCUUGCCCUGGUGAUCAGUGGCGAACGGUGAGUAACACGUGGGCAACCUGCCCCUGACUUCGGGAUAACUCCUCGAAAGAGGAGCUAAUACCGGAUACGACCACUUCGGACAUCCGAUGGUGGCGGAAAGUUUUUCGGUCAGGGAUGGGCCCGCGGCCUAUCAGCUAGUUGGUGGGGUAAUGGCCUACCAAGGCGACGACAGGUAGCCGGCCUGAGAGGGCGACCGGCCACACUGGGACUGAGACACGGCCCAGACUCCUACGGGAGGCAGCAGUGGGGAAUAUUGCGCAAUGGGCGAAAGCCUGACGCAGCGACGCCGCGUGAGGGAUGAAGGCCUUCGGGUUGUAACCGUACUUCUAGCAGGGACGAAGCGAAAGUAGACGGUACCUGCAGAAGAAGCACCGGCGUAACUACGUGCCAG